RNAcentral lists this long non-coding RNA (921 nucleotides) under Homo sapiens (human). RNAcentral describes it as "long non-coding RNA NONHSAT160633". The stretch from base 425 to 550 matches the Rfam family "Small nucleolar RNA SNORA40". Lineage: Eukaryota; Metazoa; Chordata; Mammalia; Primates; Hominidae. The record is from RNAcentral.
GUCUCGAUCUGUCACCCAGGCUGUAGUGCAAUGGCCGCAGUCUUGGCUUACUGCAACCUCCAUCUCCCGGGUUCAAGCGAUUCUGCCUCAGCCUCCUUAGUAGCUGGGAUUACAGGCGUUAGCCAGCACACCCAGCUAGUUUUUGUUUUUUUAGUAGAGACAGGCUUUCACCAUGGUCUCGAACUCCUGACCUCAGGCGAUCCGCCUGCCUUGGCCUCCCAAAAUGCUGGGAUUAUAGGUGUGAGCCAUGGCACCUGGCCUAAUACUACUUUUAACUACCAUUUUCACUUUUUAUUAGUUCAAGAAAAGGCAUACACAUUUAUUCAACAUGUAUACCUGGGGAGAACCAGUCAUUACCCCGAUGUUCAUUAUUUUGAUCACCACGAUAGAGCUGACUACUCUGCUAUGUAGUGCAUUUUGGGACUGCACUUAUGUAUGUUUUUGUUUAACGUGGACAAAGACUUACAGAUAGGUGCAAAAAAUAAAUCCUCUUUUGCAACCCAGAACUCAUUGUUCAGUAUGAGUUUUGAUACAUAUAAGAAGGGAUAUUAUGAUACCUGAGACAGUUGAUUGAUGGGAGUAUUGAUAGCCAUAAAGGUUGGUUCCAGGCCAGGUGCAAUGGGUCAAGCCUGCAAUCCCCACACCAAGGUGGGAGUAUUGCUUGAAACCAGGAGUUCAAGACCAGCCUAGGCAAGAAAGUAAGAAACACAUCUCCACAAAAAUUUAAAAAUUAGCUGGGUACUGGGGCAUGUGCCUGUAGUUGGAGUUACUCAGAAAGGGGGGAGGCUGAGGCAGAGUUGGAGGCUGCACUGAGCUUUGAUGGCACCACUGUACUCCAGCCUGAGUAACAAAGACAGACCCUGUCUCUUAAGAAAAAAAGGUUGAUUCCAGGCCUGUAGAAUAGAUAAACAGCAUGGGAUA